AGAGAAUAGAUACCCCGGUAGUCCACGCCGUAAACGAUGGAUGCUAGCCGUUGGCAGGCUUGCCUGUCAGUGGCGCAGCUAACGCAUUAAGCAUCCCGCCUGGGGAGUACGGUCGCAAGAUUAAAACUCAAAGGAAUUGACGGGGGCCCGCACAAGCGGUGGAGCAUGUGGUUCAAUUCGAAGCAACGCGAAGAACCUUACCAACCUUUGACAUGUCCCGUAUGGGUACCAGAGAUGGAAUCCUUCAGUUCGGCUGGCGGGAACACAGGUGCUGCAUGGCUGUCGUCAGCUCGUGUCGUGAGA
This 303-nucleotide ribosomal RNA is filed under the name uncultured bacterium. RNAcentral's name for it is "bacterial SSU rRNA". It matches the Rfam family "Bacterial small subunit ribosomal RNA", at positions 773 to 1072 of the family's 1533-position model. The record is from RNAcentral.